AUUGAACGCUGGCGGCAUGCCUUACACAUGCAAGUCGGACGGUAACGCGGGGCAACCUGGCGACGAGUGGCGAACGGGUGAGUAAUGCAUCGGAACGUGCCCAGUAGUGGGGGAUAGCCCGGCGAAAGCCGGAUUAAUACCGCAUACGACCUGAGGGUGAAAGCGGGGGACCGAAAGGCCUCGCGCUAUUGGAGCGGCCGAUGUCAGAUUAGGUAGUUGGUGGGGUAAAGGCCUACCAAGCCUGCGAUCUGUAGCUGGUCUGAGAGGACGACCAGCCACACUGGGACUGAGACACGGCCCAGACUCCUACGGGAGGCAGCAGUGGGGAAUUUUGGACAAUGGGCGCAAGCCUGAUCCAGCCAUGCCGCGUGCGGGAAGAAGGCCUUCGGGUUGUAAACCGCUUUUGUCAGGGAAGAAACGCUCUGGGUUAAUACCCUGGGGUAAUGACGGUACCUGAAGAAUAAGCACCGGCUAACUACGUGCCAGCAGCCGCCGUAA
Molecule: ribosomal RNA, 498 nt
Filed under: uncultured bacterium
Lineage: Bacteria
Description: partial 16S ribosomal RNA
Rfam family: Bacterial small subunit ribosomal RNA
Source: RNAcentral